CAUAAGACUGGGAUAACUCCGGGAAACCGGGGCUAAUACCGGAUAACAUUUUGAACUGCAUGGUUCGAAAUUGAAAGGCGGCUUCGGCUGUCACUUAUGGAUGGACCCGCGUCGCAUUAGCUAGUUGGUGAGGUAACGGCUCACCAAGGCAACGAUGCGUAGCCGACCUGAGAGGGUGAUCGGCCACACUGGGACUGAGACACGGCCCAGACUCCUACGGGAGGCAGCAGUAGGGAAUCUUCCGCAAUGGACGAAAGUCUGACGGAGCAACGCCGCGUGAGUGAUGAAGGCUUUCGGGUCGUAAAACUCUGUUGUUAGGGAAGAACAAGUGCUAGUUGAAUAAGCUGGCACCUUGACGGUACCUAACCAGAAAGCCACGGCUAACUACGUGCCAGCAGCCGCGGUAAUACGUAGGUGGCAAGCGUUAUCCGGAAUUAUUGGGCGUAAAGC
RNAcentral lists this ribosomal RNA (450 nucleotides) under bacterium. RNAcentral describes it as "bacterial SSU rRNA". It matches the Rfam family "Bacterial small subunit ribosomal RNA", at positions 131 to 566 of the family's 1533-position model. The record is from RNAcentral.